UACGAAGGGGGCUAGCGUUGUUCGGAAUCACUGGGCGUAAAGGGCGCGUAGGCGGCUAUGUAAGUCGGGGGUGAAAGCCUGUGGCUCAACCACAGAAUUGCCUUCGAUACUGCAUGGCUUGAGACCGGAAGAGGUCAGCGGAACUGCGAGUGUAGAGGUGAAAAUUCGUAGAUAUUCGCAAGAACACCAGUGGCGAAGGCGGCUGACUGGUCCGGAUCUGACGCUGAGGCGCGAAAGCGUGGGGAGCAAACAGG
Molecule: ribosomal RNA, 254 nt
Filed under: uncultured bacterium
Lineage: Bacteria
Description: partial 16S ribosomal RNA
Rfam family: Bacterial small subunit ribosomal RNA
Source: RNAcentral